CUGUCCUUCUGAGACACUCCUUCCUCUAACACUCUUGUAACUUUGUACAACAUUGAUACUUCUGCAGGGGUGAUCCUUCUCUGUGAUAUAGUCCUCUGCAGCCUGCAGUUUGAAAGUAAAGCUACUUCCUGAAAACCUUUCCAGCAGCAAAGCGAUAAGUCAUUGAACUUACAAGUUGGUCCCCUAGACAAGCAGAUUCUCUGAAGGCCUCAGCAAAUACAACUACAUCAGGAUACUAGAAACCUUCUCUGCAAGUGGCAUCUGUUUCACAGGGUGAAGAAGGAGAUGUCUUCUUCAUGACUGGAUAGACUCCAUAGAACUGAUCUUCAAAAUCCUUCAAAAUCCUACUCAUUCCUUCCUUCUGCCCAUAUUUGAAUCACCGAAACAUAUGGAUCUGAAGUCUCAAGUCAGGGAGCUAUAGUGUAUAACAGGACAGAAAGUCACCUAUAUUACACCUUUGGCAACAGAAGCUGGUAAAGCACUGCAUUUGCCACACAAAUGUAUUUCACAGUGUUUUCCCGUUUUGUAAUCGAACUGCCGAGAAAAUAACAGCAAAAGCAGUAAGAAAUCACAAGAAACAGUGUCUUCAGACAAGAUGUGAAAGGAGAUGGUAUACUGAUGAAGAGAAAAUACGGAAAGGUGGUCUUACAUCCCAGAAGCUGCAGCAGUAACAGUAAGUCACUGGGGCAGAGAUUAAAUGAGAAAGAAGAUGCAGUGAUAAUGGAGAAAGUGACAGAAUGUUCAGUGUUAGGAAUGGGGGUUGUCAUGUACUAAACUAGUACCUUUCCGAUUUGAGAGUAAAAGUUGCUUAAAAAGCACUGCCAAAGGAAGCUGAAGUUAUACAAGCACGUUGUGGAGAAGCAAGAACCAGUGAGUUAGUGUAUA
Molecule: long non-coding RNA, 885 nt
Organism: Cygnus olor (mute swan)
Lineage: Eukaryota; Metazoa; Chordata; Aves; Anseriformes; Anatidae
Exons: 3
Source: RefSeq, a predicted model, not a curated record